UUGCAGGGUGUUGUCAAACCAAUCCUUUAUGUUGGCGCUGUCUCCAAUGCUAUUCAAAUUGGUAUAAAUGCAUUGAUGGUGUAUGUCCUCAAAUGGGGUUUCAGAGGGAUUGCCAUCUGCUGGUCAUUUACCAAUGUGAUCAUAUUUUUGUUGACAUUUGCUUACAUGAGGGUUUUUAAGUUGGAUGAAAAAACAUGGCCAGGCUGGACCACAGAAAGUCUGUUAGACUGGGGACAGUUUAUCAAGCUUGCUGUGGCUGGAAUGGUGAUGAUUUGGAUUGAGUGGUGGAG
Molecule: unclassified non-coding RNA, 290 nt
Filed under: Stylophora pistillata
Lineage: Eukaryota; Metazoa; Cnidaria; Anthozoa; Scleractinia; Pocilloporidae
Description: multidrug and toxin extrusion protein 2-like, transcript variant X1
Source: RNAcentral